This 329-nucleotide ribosomal RNA is filed under the name uncultured eukaryote. RNAcentral's name for it is "partial 18S ribosomal RNA". It matches the Rfam family "Eukaryotic small subunit ribosomal RNA", at positions 1470 to 1796 of the family's 1831-position model. The record is from RNAcentral.
CCCUUAGAUGUUCUGGGCCGCACGCGCGCUACAAUGAUGAAUUCAACGAGUUUAUAACCUUGGUUGAAGAGCCUGGGUAAUCUUUUGAACUUUCGUCGUGAUGGGGCUAGACCCUUGCAAUUAUUGGUCUCCAACGAGGAAUUCCUAGUAAACGCAAGUCAUCAGCUUGCAUUGAUUACGUCCCUGCCCUUUGUACACACCGCCCGUCGCACCUACCGAUUGAAUGGUCCGGUGAAAUCUUCGGAUUGAGACUUUGAUUUCUUCACGGAAAACGCUGUUUUAAAAAGUUGAUUAAACCUUACCAUUUAGAGGAAGGUGAAGUCGUAACA